GAGCUGUGAAGAAAUUGGUUUCAGCGUUGGUUGGGUCCUUCGCAUUCUUCUGAACCAUCAGUUGAUAUUUGCCACACCUCUGAGCUC
This is a non-coding RNA of Arabidopsis thaliana x Arabidopsis arenosa, 87 nucleotides long. The record is from the annotation of a GenBank genome assembly. Lineage: Eukaryota; Viridiplantae; Streptophyta; Magnoliopsida; Brassicales; Brassicaceae.